This 975-nucleotide ribosomal RNA is filed under the name Staphylococcus aureus M0539. RNAcentral describes it as "bacterial SSU rRNA". It matches the Rfam family "Bacterial small subunit ribosomal RNA", at positions 8 to 964 of the family's 1533-position model. Lineage: Bacteria; Bacillati; Bacillota; Bacilli; Caryophanales; Staphylococcaceae. The record is from RNAcentral. RNAcentral also lists the same sequence under 1 other name.
AGAGUUUGAUCCUGGCUCAGGAUGAACGCUGGCGGCGUGCCUAAUACAUGCAAGUCGAGCGAACGGACGAGAAGCUUGCUUCUCUGAUGUUAGCGGCGGACGGGUGAGUAACACGUGGAUAACCUACCUAUAAGACUGGGAUAACUUCGGGAAACCGGAGCUAAUACCGGAUAAUAUUUUGAACCGCAUGGUUCAAAAGUAAAAGACGGUCUUGCUGUCACUUAUAGAUGGAUCCGCGCUGCAUUAGCUAGUUGGUAAGGUAACGGCUUACCAAGGCAACGAUGCAUAGCCGACCUGAGAGGGUGAUCGGCCACACUGGAACUGAGACACGGUCCAGACUCCUACGGGAGGCAGCAGUAGGGAAUCUUCCGCAAUGGGCGAAAGCCUGACGGAGCAACGCCGCGUGAGUGAUGAAGGUCUUCGGAUCGUAAAACUCUGUUAUUAGGGAAGAACAUAUGUGUAAGUAACUGUGCACAUCUUGACGGUACCUAAUCAGAAAGCCACGGCUAACUACGUGCCAGCAGCCGCGGUAAUACGUAGGUGGCAAGCGUUAUCCGGAAUUAUUGGGCGUAAAGCGCGCGUAGGCGGUUUUUUAAGUCUGAUGUGAAAGCCCACGGCUCAACCGUGGAGGGUCAUUGGAAACUGGAAAACUUGAGUGCAGAAGAGGAAAGUGGAAUUCCAUGUGUAGCGGUGAAAUGCGCAGAGAUAUGGAGGAACACCAGUGGCGAAGGCGACUUUCUGGUCUGUAACUGACGCUGAUGUGCGAAAGCGUGGGGAUCAAACAGGAUUAGAUACCCUGGUAGUCCACGCCGUAAACGAUGAGUGCUAAGUGUUAGGGGGUUUCCGCCCCUUAGUGCUGCAGCUAACGCAUUAAGCACUCCGCCUGGGGAGUACGACCGCAAGGUUGAAACUCAAAGGAAUUGACGGGGACCCGCACAAGCGGUGGAGCAUGUGGUUUAAUUCGAAGCAACGCGA